This 1107-nucleotide ribosomal RNA is filed under the name bacterium KBora. RNAcentral's name for it is "bacterial SSU rRNA". It matches the Rfam family "Bacterial small subunit ribosomal RNA", at positions 396 to 1511 of the family's 1533-position model. The record is from RNAcentral.
CCCGCGUGANGGAUGACGGCCUUCGGGUUGUAAACCUCUUUCAGUACCGACGAAGCGCAAGUGACGGUAGGUACAGAAGAAGCACCGGCCAACUACGUGCCAGCAGCCGCGGUAAUACGUAGGGUGCGAGCGUUGUCCGGAAUUACUGGGCGUAAAGAGCUCGUAGGCGGUUUGUCGCGUCGUCUGUGAAAACCCGCAGCUCAACUGCGGGCUUGCAGGCGAUACGGGCAGACUUGAGUACUGCAGGGGAGACUGGAAUUCCUGGUGUAGCGGUGAAAUGCGCAGAUAUCAGGAGGAACACCGGUGGCGAAGGCGGGUCUCUGGGCAGUAACUGACGCUGAGGAGCGAAAGCGUGGGUAGCGAACAGGAUUAGAUACCCUGGUAGUCCACGCCGUAAACGGUGGGCGCUAGGUGUGGGUUUCCUUCCACGGGAUCCGUGCCGUAGCUAACGCAUUAAGCGCCCCGCCUGGGGAGUACGGCCGCAAGGCUAAAACUCAAAGGAAUUGACGGGGGCCCGCACAAGCGGCGGAGCAUGUGGAUUAAUUCGAUGCAACGCGAAGAACCUUACCUGGGUUUGACAUACACCGGACCGCCCCAGAGAUGGGGUUUCCCUUGUGGUCGGUGUACAGGUGGUGCAUGGCUGUCGUCAGCUCGUGUCGUGAGAUGUUGGGUUAAGUCCCGCAACGAGCGCAACCCUUGUCCUGUGUUGCCAGCACGUAAUGGUGGGGACUCGCAGGAGACUGCCGGGGUCAACUCGGAGGAAGGUGGGGACGACGUCAAGUCAUCAUGCCCCUUAUGUCCAGGGCUUCACACAUGCUACAAUGGCCGGUACAGAGGGCUGCGAUACCGCGAGGUGGAGCGAAUCCCUUAAAGCCGGUCUCAGUUCGGAUCGGGGUCUGCAACUCGACCCCGUGAAGUCGGAGUCGCUAGUAAUCGCAGAUCAGCAACGCUGCGGUGAAUACGUUCCCGGGCCUUGUACACACCGCCCGUCACGUCAUGAAAGUCGGUAACACCCGAAGCCGGUGGCCUAACCCCUCGUGGGANGGAGCCGUCGAAGGUGGGAUCGGCGAUUGGGACGAAGUCGUAANAAGGUAGCCGUACCGGAAG